Molecule: long non-coding RNA, 234 nt
Filed under: Mustela putorius furo (domestic ferret)
Lineage: Eukaryota; Metazoa; Chordata; Mammalia; Carnivora; Mustelidae
Description: lncRNA (ENSMPUG00000025686.1)
Source: RNAcentral
CGCCUACAGCUGGCGCGUUCAGGAGAAGGGACGGGGAACUAGCCAGUGGGACUUCGGAGCACGUGCGUCCGCUUCAUCUCUCUGCUUCACCGCCUCGUGGUCCUUUGUUUCACUGACCCCUUCAUGGACACUGGGGCAGGGUUGUGGUGAAGGGCCUUAAGAUAAUGUGUGCAGAGCAAGUGACAGCGCCUGGAACGUGGAGAUUCGUCAGUAAACGUUGGCCGUUAUUACGGU